Molecule: ribosomal RNA, 806 nt
Filed under: uncultured bacterium
Lineage: Bacteria
Description: bacterial SSU rRNA
Rfam family: Bacterial small subunit ribosomal RNA
Source: RNAcentral
AGAGUUUUAUCCUGGCUCAGGAUGAACGCUGGCGGCGUGCUUAACACAUGCAAGUCGAACGAAGCACUUUAUUUGAUUUCCUUCGGGACUGAUUAUUUUGUGACUGAGUGGCGGACGGGUGAGUAACGCGUGGGUAACCUGCCUUGUACAGGGGGAUAACAGUUGGAAACGGCUGCUAAUACCGCAUAAGCGCACGGCAUCGCAUGAUGCAGUGUGAAAAACUCCGGUGGUAUAAGAUGGACCCGCGUUGGAUUAGCUAGUUGGUGAGGUAAUGGCCCACCAAGGCGACGAUCCAUAGCCGACCUGAGAGGGUGACCGGCCACAUUGGGACUGAGACACGGCCCAAACUCCUACGGGAGGCAGCAGUGGGGAAUAUUGCACAAUGGGCGAAAGCCUGAUGCAGCGACGCCGCGUGAGCGAAGAAGUAUUUCGGUAUGUAAAGCUCUAUCAGCAGGGAAGAUAAUGACGGUACCUGACUAAGAAGCACCGGCUAAAUACGUGCCAGCAGCCGCGGUAAUACGUAUGGUGCAAGCGUUAUCCGGAUUUACUGGGUGUAAAGGGAGCGCAGGCGGUGCGGCAAGUCUGAUGUGAAAGCCCGGGGCUCAACCCCGGUACUGCAUUGGAAACUGUCGUACUAGAGUGUCGGAGGGGUAAGCGGAAUUCCUAGUGUAGCGGUGAAAUGCGUAGAUAUUAGGAGGAACACCAGUGGCGAAGGCGGCUUACUGGACGAUAACUGACGCUGAGGCUCGAAAGCGUGGGGAGCAAACAGGAUUAGAUACCCUGGUAGUCCACGCCGUAAACGAUGA